AAGGGGAUAUCUCAAUUAUCCCUGUGCGCAGUGAUUUUGCAGAAUAAGGAGUGCUUAGGGGCUAGAGUAUCAUACGGCGACUGGUGAAAUGGGAUGACCCGUGUGGGAGUAACAGAGGCGAAAGCGCUGGCCAGGGGCGAAUCCGAUGGUAAAGGACGUAGGCUAGAGGAUCGAAGACGAUUAGAGACCGUUGUAGUUCUAGCAGUAAACGAUGCCGAUGUCGUGGUGCCGAAWAAUGGCGACGCGAAAGAGAAAUCGAGUAGGGCCCUGGGGAGAGUACACGCGCAAGCGAGAAAUUUAAAGGAAAUUGACGGAAGAACACCACAAGGAGUGGAGUGUGCGGCUUAAUUUGACUCAACGCGGGACAACUUACCGGGCCCGACGACCGUAAGAGUGUGACACACGAUAGGUCGAAGAGUGGUGCAUGGCCGUUAACGACGAGUGGAGUGAUCUUUGGGUUAAGUCCGUAAAUUAGUGAGACCUCAGCCGUAAGGGACAGGUGCGCAAAGCACAGGAAGGAUGGGUCAAGGACAGGUCAGUGAUGCCCUUAGAUGGUCCGGGCUGCACGCGCACUACAGUGGUCGCCGAAAUUAGCUGAUAAUUUUAAAGGCGAUCGAGAGGGAAUGAGCUUUGUAAGAGGCUCAGGAACGAG
Molecule: ribosomal RNA, 652 nt
Filed under: Loma morhua
Lineage: Eukaryota; Fungi; Microsporidia; Glugeidae
Description: SSU rRNA
Rfam family: Microsporidia small subunit ribosomal RNA
Source: RNAcentral